RNAcentral lists this ribosomal RNA (1370 nucleotides) under soil metagenome. Its description in RNAcentral is "bacterial LSU rRNA". It matches the Rfam family "Bacterial large subunit ribosomal RNA", at positions 1553 to 2925 of the family's 2925-position model. The record is from RNAcentral.
AGGCUGGGCUGUGAUGGGGAGCGAAAAUUGCAGUAGCGAAGGUCAUGUACUCCGGCUGUCGAGAAAAGCCUCUAGGUAGAUCUAGGUGCCCGUACCGCAAACCGACACAGGUAGGCGAGCAGAGCAUGCUAAGGCGCGCGGAAGAACUCUCGUUAAGGAACUCGGCAAAAUGACCCCGUAACUUCGGGAGAAGGGGUGCCUCGGUAGGGUGAAUAGCCCGAGGGGGCCGCAGUGAAAAGGCCCAAGCGACUGUUUAGCAAAAACACAGGUCUGUGCGAAGCCGUAAGGCGAAGUAUACGGGCUGACGCCUGCCCGGUGCUGGAAGGUUAAGGGGAGCGGUUAGGGGCAACCCGAAGCUGUGAACCGAAGCCCCAGUAAACGGCGGCCGUAACUAUAACGGUCCUAAGGUAGCGAAAUUCCUUGUCAGGUAAAUUCUGACCCGCACGAAUGGCGUAACGACUUGGGCGCUGUCUCAACGAGAGAUCCGGUGAAAUUUUAAUACCUGUGAAGAUGCAGGUUACCCGCGACAAGACGGAAAGACCCCAUGGAGCUUUACUGCAGCUUGAUAUUGGACUUUGGUACGAUCUGUACAGGAUAGGUGGGAGCCAUUGAGGCCGGAGCGCCAGCUUCGGUGGAGGCGCCGUUGGGAUACCACCCUGAUCGUAUCGGAGUUCUAACCUGGCACCGUGAAACCGGUGCAGGGACCGUGUCAGGCGGGCAGUUUGACUGGGGCGGUCGCCUCCUAAAAUGUAACGGAGGCGCCCAAAGGUUCCCUCAGAAUGGUUGGAAAUCAUUCGAAGAGUGUAAAGGCAAAAGGGAGCUUGACUGCGAGACCUACAAGUCGAGCAGGGACGAAAGUCGGGCUUAGUGAUCCGGUGGUACCGAAUGGAAGGGCCAUCGCUCAACGGAUAAAAGCUACCCUGGGGAUAACAGGCUUAUCUCCCCCAAGAGUCCACAUCGACGGGGAGGUUUGGCACCUCGAUGUCGGCUCAUCGCAUCCUGGGGCUGAAGUAGGUCCCAAGGGUUGGGCUGUUCGCCCAUUAAAGCGGUACGCGAGCUGGGUUCAGAACGUCGUGAGACAGUUCGGUCCCUAUCUGUCGCGGGCGUAGGAAAUUUGAGAGGAGCUGUCCUUAGUACGAGAGGACCGGGAUGGACGUACCGCUGGUGUACCAGUUGUUCCGCCAGGAGCACCGCUGGGUAGCCAAGUACGGAAGGGAUAAGCGCUGAAAGCAUCUAAGCGUGAAGCCCCCCUCAAGAUGAGAUUUCCCAGUAUGUAAGACCCCUUGAAGACGACGAGGUUGAUAGGUUCGGGGUGGAAGCACAGCAAUGUGUGGAGCUGACGAAUACUAAUCGGUCGAGGGCUUAUCCUA